GCUAUCUCCGCCGCCUGCCGCCGCCGCCGAUCCGCCCCUCCGCUCCGGUGAGAACCAUGGGCACUCUCGGGCGAGCGAUCUACACCGCCGGAUUCUGGAUCCGGGAGACCGGUCAAGCCCUAGAUCGCCUCGGCAGCCGCCUCCAGGGAAACUACUACUUCCAGGAGCAGCUAUCAAGACACCGUACACUCAUGAACAUAUUUGACAAAGUCCCCAAUGUUCACAAAGAUGCAUUUGUGGCUCCAAGUGCGUCCAUCGUUGGAGAUGUUGAAGUUGGACAUGGAUCAUCAAUUUGGUAUGGAUGUGUGUUGAGAGGUGAUGUGAACAGCGUCCGUGUUGGUUCCGGGACAAACAUACAAGAUAACUCUCUUGUGCAUGUAGCAAAAUCCAAUUUAAGUGGGAAGGUGUUGCCAACAAUUAUUGGCGAUAAUGUCACUGUUGGUCAUAGUGCUGUCUUACAUGGAUGCACUGUUGAGGAUGAGGCUUUCAUUGGUAUGGGAUCGACGAUUCUUGAUGGGGUGGUUGUGGA
This 529-nucleotide unclassified non-coding RNA is filed under the name Hevea brasiliensis (rubber tree). The record is from RNAcentral. Lineage: Eukaryota; Viridiplantae; Streptophyta; Magnoliopsida; Malpighiales; Euphorbiaceae.